Molecule: ribosomal RNA, 492 nt
Filed under: uncultured bacterium
Lineage: Bacteria
Description: partial 16S ribosomal RNA
Rfam family: Bacterial small subunit ribosomal RNA
Source: RNAcentral
AGUGAACGCUGGCGGUAGGCCUAACACAUGCAAGUCGAACGGCAGCACAGUAAGAGCUUGCUCUUACGGGUGGCGAGUGGCGGACGGGUGAGGAAUACAUCGGAAUCUACUUUUUCGUGGGGGAUAACGUAGGGAAACUUACGCUAAUACCGCAUACGACCUACGGGUGAAAGCAGGGGAUCUUCGCACCUUGCGCGAUUCAAUGAGCCGAUGUCGGAUUAGCUAGUUGGCGGGGUAAAGGCCCACCAAGGCGACGAUCCGUAGCUGGUCUGAGAGGAUGAUCAGCCACACUGGAACUGAGACACGGUCCAGACUCCUACGGGAGGCAGCAGUGGGGAAUAUUGGGCAAUGGGCGCAAGCCUGAUCCAGCCAUACCGCGUGGGUGAAGAAGGCCUUCGGGUUGUAAAGCCCUUUUGUUGGGAAAGAAAAGCAGCAGGUUAAUACCCCGCUGUUCUGACGGUACCCAAAGAAUAAGCACCGGCUAACUUCGUG